GCGAAGGCCACCUACGAUGCCCCCUUCCUGGGUGGGGAACCCAGAAGUUCACAUCACCACUCGUAGUCCAUGCUCUGGGCUGCAACACCGUCGCCUAAGACUCCGAAGCCCUCUUCCAGGGACAGUGAGGGAGGCUUAUGGAUAUGGGGAACUGGUCCCGACAACACAGGGGACUGUUGUGAUGCUGCACGGCAACACGGGAGGUGAGAAGUCAUUACUGCAACUGACUGCAUUCAGUCUGACCAUCACGGGCAUAGGCUGAGAGGUCUGUUUUCAUCUGGUCUAAGAAUACAUCCAGG
Molecule: non-coding RNA, 299 nt
Organism: Pelobates cultripes (western spadefoot toad)
Lineage: Eukaryota; Metazoa; Chordata; Amphibia; Anura; Pelobatidae
Source: the annotation of a GenBank genome assembly